RNAcentral lists this ribosomal RNA (534 nucleotides) under Candidatus Mycoplasma turicense. RNAcentral's name for it is "bacterial SSU rRNA". It matches the Rfam family "Bacterial small subunit ribosomal RNA", at positions 418 to 973 of the family's 1533-position model. Lineage: Bacteria; Bacillati; Mycoplasmatota; Mollicutes; Mycoplasmatales; Mycoplasmataceae. The record is from RNAcentral.
ACAGGUCGUAAAGUUCUUUUAGAGGGGAAAAAUCUGAUGGUACCCUCUGAAUAAGUGACAGCAAACUAUGUGCCAGCAGCUGCGGUAAUACAUAGGUCGCGAGCGUUAUUCGGAUUUAUUGGGCGUAAAGCAAGCGCAGGCGGAUGAAUAAGUUCUGCAUUAAAAGCAGCUGCUUAACAGUUGUUUGUGCCGAAUACUAUUCAUCUAGAAUGUGGUAGAAAGUUUUGGAAUUAAAUAUGGAGCGGUGGAAUGUGUAGAUAUAUUUAAGAACACCAGAGGCGAAGGCGAAAACUUAGGCCAUUAUUGACGCUUAGGCUUGAAAGUGUGGGUAGCAAAUGGGAUUAGAUACCCCAGUAGUCCACACCGUAAACGAUGGGUAUUAGAUGUCGGGACUUGAGUUUCGGCGUUGUAGCUUACGUGUUAAAUACCCCGCCUGGGUAGUACAUAUGCAAAUAUGAAACUCAAAGGAAUUGACGGGGACCUGAACAAGUGGUGGAACAUGUUGCUUAAUUCGAUAAUACACGAAAAACCUUA